AUGUUUUCUGUAGCUCUUCUCCUGCUGUUGGCAGCUGGAUGUGUGAAGUGUGAACAGCUGACACAGCCAGCCUCCAUGUCAGUGCAGCCGGGUCAACGACUGACCAUCAACUGUCAGGUCUCUUAUUCGCUUGGCGGCUACUACACGCACUGGAUCCGGCAACCUGCAGGGAAAGCACUGGAGUGGUUCAGUAGGGACAGUGAUGUCAAAGAUUCACUAAAGAGCAAGUUCAGUGUUAAAUUAGACUCUUCGAGCAACACAGUGACUUUAACAGGCCAAAAUUUGCAGCCUGAAGACACUGCUGUGUAUUACUGUGCCAGAGAGCCACAGUGA
This is a non-coding RNA of Archocentrus centrarchus (flier cichlid), 333 nucleotides long. Lineage: Eukaryota; Metazoa; Chordata; Actinopteri; Cichliformes; Cichlidae. The record is from the annotation of a RefSeq genome assembly.